RNAcentral lists this ribosomal RNA (510 nucleotides) under uncultured bacterium. RNAcentral's name for it is "bacterial SSU rRNA". It matches the Rfam family "Bacterial small subunit ribosomal RNA", at positions 29 to 529 of the family's 1533-position model. The record is from RNAcentral.
AAUGAACGCUGGCGGCGUGUCUUAAGCAUGCAAGUCGUGCGGCAAGGGUAGCAAUACCCCUAGAGCGGCGGACUGGUGAGUAACGCGUGGGUGAUCUGCCUCUGGGAUGGGGAUAGCCACUAGAAAUAGUGGGUAAUACCGAAUACGUUCACCGGACUGUGGUUUGGUGAGGAAAGGCGCUUCGGCGCCACCCGGAGAUGAGCCCGCGUCCCAUUAGCUAGUUGGUGAGGUAAAAGCCCACCAAGGCGAUGAUGGGUAGGCGGCCUGAGAGGGUGUACGCCCACACUGGGACUGAGAUACGGCCCAGACUCCUACGGGAGGCAGCAGCUAAGAAUAUUCCGCAAUGGACGAAAGUCUGACGGAGCGACGCCGCGUGGAUGAAGAAGGCCGAAAGGUUGUAAAAUCCUUUUGUUGGGGAAGAAUAAGCGUGGGAGGGAAUGCCCGCGUGAUGACAUGAACCGACGAAUAAGUCCCGGCUAACUACGUGCCAGCAGCCGCGGUAAACACGAG